GGCAGUAUAGCUCAAGUGGUAGGGCCCAUGCUUAGCAAGCACAGGGUCCUGGGUUCAAUCCCCAGUACCUCCU
This 73-nucleotide transfer RNA is filed under the name Camelus dromedarius (Arabian camel). It matches the Rfam family "tRNA". Rfam says of the family: Transfer RNA (tRNA) molecules are approximately 80 nucleotides in length. Their secondary structure includes four short double-helical elements and three loops (D, anti-codon, and T loops). Lineage: Eukaryota; Metazoa; Chordata; Mammalia; Artiodactyla; Camelidae. The record is from Rfam by way of RNAcentral. RNAcentral also lists the same sequence under 1 other name.